Molecule: ribosomal RNA, 441 nt
Filed under: uncultured organism
Description: bacterial SSU rRNA
Rfam family: Bacterial small subunit ribosomal RNA
Source: RNAcentral
GUGCACCAGUCGAGAAUUUUUCUCAAUGGGGGAAACCCUGAAGGAGCGACGCCGCGUGGGAGGAUGAAGGUCGUUCGGUUGUAACUCCUGUCAUUUGGGAACAAGUCGCUUACGUUAACUGCGUGAGCGUUGAUAGUACCAGAAGAGGAAGAGACGGCUAACUCUGUGCCAGCAGCCGCGGUAAUACAGAGGUCUCAAGCGUUGUUCGGAUUCAUUGGGCGUAAAGGGUGUGUAGGUGGCGCCGUAAGUCGGGUGUGAAAUCUCGGGGCUUAACUCCGAAACUGCAUUCGAUACUGCGGUGCUUGAGGACUGGAGAGGAGACUGGAAUUCAUGGUGUAGCAGUGAAAUGCGUAGAGAUCAUGAGGAAGACCAGUGGCGAAGGCGGGUCUCUGGACAGUUCCUGACACCGAGACACGAAGGCCAGGGGAGCAAACGGGAUUA